RNAcentral lists this ribosomal RNA (254 nucleotides) under uncultured bacterium. Its description in RNAcentral is "partial 16S ribosomal RNA". It matches the Rfam family "Bacterial small subunit ribosomal RNA", at positions 524 to 776 of the family's 1533-position model. The record is from RNAcentral.
UACGUAGGGUGCGAGCGUUAUUCGGAAUUACUGGGCGUAAAGCGUGCGCAGGCGGUCUGUUAAGACCGAUGUGAAAUCCCCGGGCUUAACCUGGGAACUGCAUUGGUGACUGGCAGGCUUUGAGUGUGGAAGAGGGAGGUAGAAUUCCACGUGUAGCAGUGAAAUGCGUAGAGAUGUGGAGGAAUACCGAUGGCGAAGGCAGCCUCCUGGGACAACACUGACGCUCAUGAACGAAAGCGUGGGGAGCAAACAGG